GAUGAACGCUGGCGGCGUGCUUAACACAUGCAAGUCGAACGAAGCAUUUAAGCGGAAGUUUUCGGAUGGAAGCUUUUAUGACUGAGUGGCGGACGGGUGAGUAACGCGUGGGUAACCUGCCCUAUACAGGGGGAUAACAGUUGGAAACGACUGCUAAUACCGCAUAAGCGCACAGUAUCGCAUGAUACGGUGUGAAAAGCUCCGACGGUAUAGGAUGGGCCCGCGUCUGAUUAGCUAGUUGGCAGGGUAAUGGCCUACCAAGGCGACGAUCAGUAGCCGACCUGAGAGGGUGACCGGCCACAUUGGGACUGAGACACGGCCCAAACUCC
RNAcentral lists this ribosomal RNA (329 nucleotides) under uncultured Lachnospiraceae bacterium. RNAcentral's name for it is "bacterial SSU rRNA". It matches the Rfam family "Bacterial small subunit ribosomal RNA", at positions 28 to 339 of the family's 1533-position model. The record is from RNAcentral. Lineage: Bacteria; Bacillati; Bacillota; Clostridia; Lachnospirales; Lachnospiraceae.